RNAcentral lists this ribosomal RNA (301 nucleotides) under uncultured bacterium. RNAcentral's name for it is "partial 16S ribosomal RNA". It matches the Rfam family "Bacterial small subunit ribosomal RNA", at positions 509 to 807 of the family's 1533-position model. The record is from RNAcentral.
CAGCCGCCGCGGGAAAACGAAGGGGGCUAGCGUUGCUCGGAAUUACUGGGCGUAAAGGGAGCGUAGGCGGACAUUUAAGUCAGGGGUGAAAUCCCGGGGCUCAACCUCGGAAUUGCCUUUGAUACUGGGUGUCUUGAGUAUGAGAGAGGUAUGUGGAACUCCGAGUGUAGAGGUGAAAUUCGUAGAUAUUCGGAAGAACACCAGUGGCGAAGGCGACACACUGGCUCAUUACUGACGCUGAGGCUCGAAAGCGUGGGGAGCAAACAGGAUUAGAUAUCCCCGUAGUCCCUGUCUCUUAUAC